RNAcentral lists this ribosomal RNA (216 nucleotides) under Glomeromycotina sp. Its description in RNAcentral is "partial small subunit ribosomal RNA". The stretch from base 40 to 216 matches the Rfam family "Eukaryotic small subunit ribosomal RNA", at positions 686 to 864 of the family's 1831-position model. Lineage: Eukaryota; Fungi; Glomeromycota. The record is from RNAcentral.
GGGUCAGUAGGUUGGUCGUGCCACCGGUACGUACUGGUCUCACUGAUUCCUCCUUCCUGAAGAACCGUAAUGCCAUUAAUUUGGUGUUACGGGGAAACAGGACUGUUACCUUGAAAAAAUUAGAGUGUUUAAAGCAAGCUAACGCUUGAAUACAUUAGCAUGGAAUAAUGAAAUAGGACGAUCGAUCCUAUUUUGUUGGUUUCUAGGAUUGACGUA